UACGUAGGGUGCGAGCGUUGCCCGGAUUUAUUGGGCGUAAAGGGCGCGUAGGCGGCCACGCACGUCCGUUGUGAAAUCCCCGGGCUCAACCUGGGAACUGCAUUGGUGACUGGCAGGCUAGAGUAUGGCAGAGGGGGGUAGAAUUCCACGUGUAGCAGUGAAAUGCGUAGAGAUGUGGAGGAAUACCGAUGGCGAAGGCAGCCCCCUGGGCCAAUACUGACGCUCAUGCACGAAAGCGUGGGGAGCAAACAGG
RNAcentral lists this ribosomal RNA (253 nucleotides) under uncultured bacterium. RNAcentral describes it as "partial 16S ribosomal RNA". It matches the Rfam family "Bacterial small subunit ribosomal RNA", at positions 524 to 776 of the family's 1533-position model. The record is from RNAcentral.